GUGAAUCAUCGAAUUUUUGAACGCAAAUUGCACUCUCUGGUAUUCCGGAGAGUAUGCCUGUUUGAGGGUCAGUUUAAAUAAAAAUCGGUGUGGCUGCUGCCUUUCGUGUUGACGCACGGGUUGUGGGUCUUCUGGCCUUCGGUUAAGUGACCUAAAAUUUUGCUUGUUUUUUUCGAAGGUAUUUAAAUGAUUUUACGUACGUUUGCGAUUGCGAUAACUAGUUGCGGUCAUCUUAAUGAUCCGC
This 244-nucleotide unclassified non-coding RNA is filed under the name Glomus sp. RNAcentral's name for it is "partial contains 5.8S ribosomal RNA and internal transcribed spacer 2". The stretch from base 1 to 71 matches the Rfam family "5.8S ribosomal RNA", at positions 84 to 154 of the family's 154-position model. The record is from RNAcentral. Lineage: Eukaryota; Fungi; Glomeromycota; Glomeromycetes; Glomerales; Glomeraceae.